Molecule: non-coding RNA, 100 nt
Organism: Acanthosepion pharaonis
Lineage: Eukaryota; Metazoa; Mollusca; Cephalopoda; Sepiida; Sepiidae
Source: the annotation of a GenBank genome assembly
CGUUGAAACACCGGUUCUCGCCCGAUCAGCAAAGUUAAGCAACGUCGAGCCUGAUCAGUAUUAAGAUGAGUGACCGCUUGGAAAUACCAAGUGCUGUAAG